AGAGUAAUAGUUUCUCUUCUUUUAAUGAUCUUUUAGUAGGAGAAUGGACCAGAUGACCUCUAUAGGUGUCUCUCCACAGGCAGAAAAAUCAAACGCCCAGAGAGGUCAAGAUGUCUGCAAAGAGACACAGAGUGAUGCAAUGGAAAUCCUGUGUGGAGGUCUCCAGAAGGCUAAUUUCUGAAGCAGUGUUCUAUCCACAUGACCGUGCUGCUGCUCAUUAAGAUGGUACCUCUCAUUAAGAUAAAGCAUAAUCAUUAAAAAUCCUUUAGCUUGCUCACAUUAACUACCAUUGUGCGUCACAGGUCUAAUGCUUCAUGAAAGCUCAGAGUGAAUUAGACAUUUUAUUUAAGUGCUACUUAACUAAAAGUUAAAAAGUAUAAUUUUCUAUUGCAGCAUAAGAACUGGAGAGACUAAUUUGGUGUGGUUGUUAAAUUUUACAAAGCCUGAUUCUCAAUUUUCAAAAAAUAUUGUACAUUUAUUUAUUGAAGUGAAUGAAACAUUUGCUAUAAAACUAUUCAACGGAAAGUUUUUUAACAAAGCAUAAUUUACUUUUCAUUUACAGAACAAUGGAAAGUAGAAAGAAAUCUCCUCCAAGGUAUUAGAAUCAUGUACAGUUUCAUAUUUGACUAAAAAAUUAUUUCCCCAGCCUGUUUUCUCAACACUAAGGAUAUGCAGAAAAGUAUCACUUGCAUUCAUCAUGAAAAUUACAGAAAAAUGACUGAAACUACUGAGAACAUUAUUAAAUAAAACAUAUACUUAUUAUCUGUCUU
RNAcentral lists this long non-coding RNA (770 nucleotides) under Homo sapiens (human). RNAcentral's name for it is "HSALNT0293638". Lineage: Eukaryota; Metazoa; Chordata; Mammalia; Primates; Hominidae. The record is from RNAcentral.